AUACGUAGGGGACAAGCGUUAUCCGGAUUUACUGGGUGUAAAGGGAGCGCAGACGGCAGUGCAAGUCUGAAGUGGAAGCCCGGGGCUCAACCCCGGGACCGCUUUGGAAACUGUUCUGCUAGAGUACUGGAAGGGCAAGCGGAAUUCCUGGUGUAGCGGUGAAAUGCGUAGAUAUCAGGAGGAACACCGGUGGCGAAGGCGGCUUGCUGGACAGCAACUGACGUUGAGGCUCGAGAGCGUGGGGAGCAAACAGGAUUAGAUACCCUGGUAGUCCACGCUGUAAACGAUGAAUACUAGGUGUUGGGAGACUAAGUCUUUCAGUGCCGUCGCAAACGCAGUAAGUAUUCCACCUGGGGAGUACGUUCGCAAGAAUGAAACUCAAAUGAAUUGACGGGG
Molecule: ribosomal RNA, 396 nt
Filed under: uncultured bacterium
Lineage: Bacteria
Description: partial 16S ribosomal RNA
Rfam family: Bacterial small subunit ribosomal RNA
Source: RNAcentral